UUUAACUGGAGAGUUUGAUCCUGGCUCAGAUUGAACGCUGGCGGCGUGCCUAACACAUGCAAGUCGAGCGAGAAAGCUUCCUUCGGGAAGUGAGUAGAGCGGCGCACGGGUGAGUAACGCGUGGGUAACCUACCCAAAUGACUGGGAUAACAGAUGGAAACGUCUGCUAAUACCGGAUACGCUUCAUAUUUAACUUUAUGGAGGAAAGGUGGCCUCUAUUUAUAAGCUACCACUUUUGGAUGGGCCCGCGUUUCAUUAGCU
RNAcentral lists this ribosomal RNA (261 nucleotides) under Pseudodesulfovibrio senegalensis. Its description in RNAcentral is "Desulfovibrio senegalensis partial 16S ribosomal RNA". It matches the Rfam family "Bacterial small subunit ribosomal RNA", at positions 1 to 246 of the family's 1533-position model. Lineage: Bacteria; Pseudomonadati; Thermodesulfobacteriota; Desulfovibrionia; Desulfovibrionales; Desulfovibrionaceae. The record is from RNAcentral.